CACUAAUUAGUAUUAUGUAAAAAAUCCAAAUCAUAAGUAGUGCAACUCACUCCGAAUUUCACACUUCAUAAUUAAGAAACUGACGUUACUAAAUUAUAUGGUAUUUGAUAAUGUCGAUCAUUUUUAUCUUAGGUAAGAAAUUGGGUUAGGAAAGCUGAAAGACAUAGUUGUUUAUGGCUCUGUAUGAACAUUAUUUUUCCGAUAUGUCACCAAAAUUAUAAAACAAAUAAAGUAGUUAAUGAUACCCUCUUUACAAAUGGUUUGUUAGAAUGCAUAUGUUAUAAUGUAGAGACUCCUGAUAUUAUUUUGAAUAAUGUUCUUACAUUAUGGAGUUUAGGUACAAUGUUUCCUUAUUGUAUUCUAUCUUUGUCUCAUUAAUGGUUAUGGCGUAAGGGUUCUUGUUCUAGUCUUGUAUUAAAAGAAAAAAAAUUGAGUUGGGACUUGAGGAACUAUUUUGGUUUUGGUUUUGGUUUUGGUUGAUUGACAUGAAAAAUUUACGAGUUGAUAGGAGAUUAAUUGACUAGCAUGAAGAAUGGUGUCCCAGUUGCUCCCCACGCCUAAGUAAAAAGGUUCACACAACUUUAAUUAGUGACAACAAAACUUGGUCCCUCCGAUUCUCCAUUGAUAACCACUAGCUAUAUAUGUAGCUCAUUGGCUCUAGUUCUAGUUAGUGCAUUUCAAACGCAUUCACUCUCAUAUAUAUGCUCUAUCUUCCCAUGUUUCCCCUCAUCCUAUCCUAUGUUUGUGUAUGUAUGGCAAAACAGUCCUGUUCACCUGAUCAUCAGCUACUGACCAAGAUCGAUUUGGUCAAUCACCGUUGGAUCACGCCACUAUAAAUCUGAUGACCGAGAGAUUAAGACGUUAAAAUAAACUAAAACACAUUAUUUUAUAUUCUUAAUCAUUUUUAAUUGAUAUUAUAAGCUUUCUCUUUCUUCUAGUCUCUUCCCACAAAGUCCUCGUGUUCUCCUUCCCCCAAUCUCCCAAAUUUCAUCAAAUAUGAAACCCACAUUCGCUGGGGACAAGACCCAACGCCGGAAGUCGCCGAAGUCUUCUCCUAAUCUCUCCGUCUUCGUUUUUCCCUCUUCUUCUUCUUCUUCUUCCAUAAUAGAAAUAGUGCAUGUUCUUCGAGGAAGAACACAACUCAGACACGGCAUACUGAAAAAUCCGCACCCAAAAUCCAAAAAUAAAAAUGAAAUAAGAUUAAUUGUAGUUUACCCCCUUGAGGUUUGGAUAGUUAAUAUUGUUUCACUUUCUAUAUUUUUAAUUUUAAAAAUUUACCUCCUAAAGUCUCUAAUUUUCAUAAAUCAGACACAACCGUCUAAUUUGGAGAUUAAAUUAUAACAUGAAAUCUUAAAAAAAAAAAAUCCUAAAAGGUGAUUUAUGUUGUUAUAAGACUAUUUUAACCCUUUUAGUAAGUUAUGAAGUCAAAAUUAACGUCUGAAUUAGACAGAAUUUCAGCAAUUGGACAUGAUUUAUAAAAAUUAAAAAUUUUAAGAGGUAAAUUUUUAAAAUUAAAAAUAUGAGAUGUGAAAUGAUGUUAACCCUAAACUCAGAAGUGUAAACUGAAAUUAAUC
Molecule: long non-coding RNA, 1574 nt
Filed under: Fragaria vesca (wild strawberry)
Lineage: Eukaryota; Viridiplantae; Streptophyta; Magnoliopsida; Rosales; Rosaceae
Description: long non-coding RNA (FVES_LNC002893)
Source: RNAcentral